UGGGGAAUCUUGCACAAUGGGGGCAACCCUGAUGCAGCGACGCCGCGUGAGCGAUGAAGCCCUUCGGGGCGUAAAGCUCUUUCGACCGGAACGAUAAUGACGGUACCGGGAGAAGAAGCUGCGGCUAACUACGUGCCAGCAGCCGCGGUAAUACGUAGGCAGCAAGCGUUGUUCGGAGUUACUGGGCGUAAAGAGUGCGUAGGCGGUUUUCUAAGUUCGGUGUGAAAUCUCCCGGCUUAACUGGGAGGGUGCGCCGAAGACUGGGAAGUUGGAGUGUGGGAAGGGCAGGCGGAAUUCCUGGUGUAGCGGUGAAAUGCGUAGAUAUCAGGAGGAACACCGGCGGUGUAGACGGCUUGCUAGACCAUAACUGACGCUGAGGCACGAAAGCGUGGGUAGCAAACA
This 402-nucleotide ribosomal RNA is filed under the name uncultured bacterium. RNAcentral's name for it is "bacterial SSU rRNA". It matches the Rfam family "Bacterial small subunit ribosomal RNA", at positions 355 to 774 of the family's 1533-position model. The record is from RNAcentral.